Molecule: long non-coding RNA, 856 nt
Filed under: Gallus gallus (chicken)
Lineage: Eukaryota; Metazoa; Chordata; Aves; Galliformes; Phasianidae
Description: long non-coding RNA NONGGAT002788
Source: RNAcentral
GAUCACAGUAGCCGGCAUAAUCUGCAACAGCUAUGGGAAGAUUACUGACGGCUCAUUGACAAGAACUGGAAUAUGCAACCUGCAUACAAGGACGUUUUGAUAUCUUUGUCCUGGUGAAGUGAGGAGUCUGGAAUUAAACUACAUGUAAUACACACCAGGGCAUAGGACAGCACUCAGUCUUGUGUGUUGGUGCUCACCGCACCUUACCAUUUAAAGGAUCUCCCUGCUCAGCACUGUGAAAAGACUCCCACAUCAGCCUGCUGGGCAGACAUUUCCUUUCCAGAGAAUACAGAGGUGAUAUGUUCAUGUUAAGAGCGAAAAUGCAAGUCCUGCUGAGAGACUGGAACUCUUAUGAUUGCUGGAUGAGGAUUUUGCUGCGCCAUUCAACCCUACCCGCAGCGGCCCACGUUCUGCAGUCUGGCUGGGUGCUACGUACAGCGUGUCUUUGGUGAAUCACUUGUGACUCUAUCCCUGUCGCUGGAUCUCGGAAUGGAUGACCUUAGAGAUUUUGCAGCCCACCUAAGCCUUCCUAAUUAACAUGUUCUCAAGUUCUCUUUGCCUCCCUACUCGUGAUAUUUGUGGUAUUUCAUUGCUACAUCUUGUGGUGGCCAUCAAGGGACAUUGCAAUUGGAAAUGAGUCUGUGCAUUGGAGAGAUGGACAAACCCACCUUCAGUGCUGCUGCGGUUGCCCAGAAGUCAGUGAAGUGACAUGAAGAGGGAACAGCGGCCAUUAGAUUUCUUCACAAAGCGAGCUUCCUCGUUCUCUGUCCAUCAUAACUUCAGUAAAGCCAGUGGUCUGGAUUCUGCAGAAAAAUGAGACCAUUACCCAACAGGUGCAUAUCAGAUUCCCACAAAG